RNAcentral lists this ribosomal RNA (430 nucleotides) under Pseudomonadota bacterium. Its description in RNAcentral is "Proteobacteria bacterium partial 16S ribosomal RNA". It matches the Rfam family "Bacterial small subunit ribosomal RNA", at positions 355 to 776 of the family's 1533-position model. The record is from RNAcentral. Lineage: Bacteria; Pseudomonadati; Pseudomonadota.
UGGGGAAUAUUGGACAAUGGGGGGAACCCUGAUCCAGCCAUGCCGCGUGUGUGAAGAAGGCCUUAUGGUUGUAAAGCACUUUAAGCGAGGAGGAGGGUACUGGUAUUAUUACUACCAGGUACUGGACGUUACUCGCAGAAUAAGCACCGGCUAACUCUGUGCCAGCAGCCGCGGUAAUACAGAGGGUGCGAGCGUUAAUCGGAUUUACUGGGCGUAAAGCGUGCGUAGGCGGCUAAUUGAGUCGGAUGUGAAAUCCCCGAGCUUAACUUGGGAAUUGCAUUCGAUACUGGUUAGCUAGAGUGUGGGAGAGGAUGGUAGAAUUCCAGGUGUAGCGGUGAAAUGCGUAGAGAUCUGGAGGAAUACCGAUGGCGAAGGCAGCCAUCUGGCCUAACACUGACGCUGAGGUACGAAAGCAUGGGGAGCAAACAGG